Long non-coding RNA from Cyprinus carpio carpio, 327 nucleotides. The record is from Ensembl. NCBI's taxonomy places the organism in Eukaryota, Metazoa, Chordata, Actinopteri, Cypriniformes, Cyprinidae.
CGGAAGUGUACACUACCGCUUUUAACUUCUCUUACCUGCACCAGGUGAGACUGCAUAAAAGUCAACUUGAAACUUCGAGAUGUCUCCGGUCCUGGCGAAUAAAGACCGUUUUUGAUAAAAUGAAUAACCCUUUUCCCACUAACCUAAAGUCUGAGGCCAAGAAGGCCGCCAAGAUCCUCUAGAGUUCACAGAAAUAUCCAAUAGAAUGGGACCUGACAAACUUAUUCCAGAUGGAGUAUUCUGAUGACGACUUUCAUACCUUUUAUGGACCUUGACACUGUUAUUUACUUGGCAGUCUAUGGGACAGUCACAGGCCUCCCAGUUUUC